UGCAGCUCUUGGUUCUUUGGGCCCCUGGAGUCCCCAAGGAGGAGGCUGGGCAGGCACAAUUCUCCCCAUUCUGCAAACAGCAAAGAUGAGGCUCAGCCAAGCCAGCAUUCAGGGCCAUGGCUGAGAGGCAUGUGGCCCUCUCUCCUCCCGCUCUCUUCUUUACCUCACUUCCGGGGCAAACUGUACCACCUGACGCUGCCGUAGCCGUCUGCCCUUUCCUCCCGGAUGGCCUUCCCAGCCGCCCUCUCCUCAGUUCCACCCAAGCCCUCAGAUACGGUGUCUCGGGGCAGCCAUCUUGGUGCACCCCGAGCCAGCCCUUCCUGCGUUCUGUGUCCUCCUGGAGGAUUUGUCAGGUUCCCCAGAGCUUCUAGGAGAGACGCCAAGUCCUGAACCUCAAAAGAGAUGAGAGAAUCACAGACCAGCGGCCCUCAAGUCCUCUUGGCCCCCCACAGUGCUGAGCACACUCUGCCUGGUGCUGAGGCUGCUGCUGGGGCUGGGCAUAGACACGGAAAAUAAUGUGAGAAACCUUCAAACACCAGUCCAGUCUCUACCCACAAAAUGGAAUAAGAACGGGACCAGUCAUGGAGGUUGUUUAGGGUUCAGGCUGAACCCCACCACUGCUUCUUUUCCUGGAGGUUUGGGGGGCCAGAGGCUGAUCUAACAUUCCGAGGCCAACCUGGCAAACACUUGCAUCCAGUUCUCUACUUUCUGCCCACAGCUUUGGCCGUCACCUGUUGUGCGGUGCGGACAGACACAGCCCGUGGGAGCACACCCCAGGGCCCCCCGGCUCCUCACUCACAUGGAAGUGAGCACCCACAAACCACUGUGGUGGAGACCCACCGGUUACAAGCAAGGAAACCCACUCUCACUCCUCAAAUAAAAGGGGAAUACUAUUACAAGGAUGCAAAAGACGAGUUCUCAGGUAUUGGGAAUGAAUUGAUUUUUCCUAAAAAGAUACGUUCAUGCCUGACCCCUAGUACCGUAGAUGUGGCCUCAUUUAGAGACAGGGUAUUUAUAGAGGGAAUGGAGUUGAAAUGAAGUCAUGAGUCUGGGUCCUAACCCAAGAAGCCUGGUGUCACACAAAGGGGAAAUUCAGACACAGGGACAGACAAGCAUGGAGGGAAGGUGGCCACAUGAAAACCGGGGCAGGAGUGAGACCUCGACCAGCCAGGGAACCUCAAAGACCCACAGGAAACUGUCAGGAGCCAGGGAGAAGUGAGGAAGCAUGCUUCCCCAGAGCGUCUGGGGAUAGCAUUGCCCUGCAAACACCUCGUCCCAGACUUUCAGCCUCUAGAACUGGGAGAAUAAGUCUGUCUUCUCGAAGCCACCCAGUUUGGGGUACUUUGCUCCAGCAGCCCCAGGAAACUCUUGCAACAGCUCACUGUGGACAGGAGCUGAAAGCAGCUGGUGCUCAGUUCGAGGCUGCAGUGAGCUAUGAUCAUGCCACUGUCCUCCGGCCUGGGUCACAGAGCUAGACCCUUUCUCAUAAAUAAAUAAAUAAAUAAAUAAAUAAAUAAAUAGAAGGGAUUUUUAAAAACUUACCAAUUCAAUUUCAGGGCAUCUGGAAAUGCCAGGGCUUCCCAGGUCUCCUUCAUCCCUGCUUCUCUCUCCACAUCACCACGGCCACCAUUUCUCCAAGACUAGAUUCUUCUGUUUCUCCUUGUCCCACACAUGGCCCAGCAUGGGCACCCCACCCCAAUGUACUGCAGCCUUCCUGUGAAAGCACCUUUCCUCAAUGGGCAAUGCCUGCCAGGCCACUGGUCAGCCACAGGGGUUGGCUCAGCUCAUGGGUCCUUCUCUUGCCCAGUCAGCUUUGGCCAGGGAGGAGACAGGCCAUUGAUGUCUACUUCCGCCUCACUUGACCUUCUCCUCUCUGCCUAUUCUGUUCUGUCCACCUCUCUACUCUGCAUGUCUGUCUCAAACCUCCCUCUGCCCCUCUGUUAAUAAGGACACCAUCAUUGGAUUUGGGGCCUACCCAGAUAAUCCAGGAUGAUCCCUUCCUCUCAAGCUCCUUAACUCAAUUAGCAAGUCCUUUCCUUAAGGGAAAUGUCAGAGGCACAUCUUCAUGUCUACAGUGAUAAUGAAUUAUUAGUAUCACAUACACACACAAACACUUAAAUUGUGAAAAAAAAUCAUCCUAUAGAAAAAUGGGGGGAAACCUUAACAGAAGAGGAAAUUUAGAGACAAAGCUUGGAUGACAAAUAACCAUUGAGAAACUGUUCAACCUAACAGGGAAAUGCAAAUUCAAACAAGUCAUGUCAUUUCACAUCCUGCUCCCCCAAGAUUUACAGAAAUUUGGAAGUCUGACAUUAGCAAGUGCUGCAGGAACAUAGAGAAAUGGGAACUCAGACUUUGCCAGAGUAAAUUGGCCAAGGGACUUUGGAAAGCAACUUUGCUUCCUAGUGAAGCCGACUCUGGCCCUUCCCUGUGAGCCUGCAAUUCCGCUCCUAACCCCAGCCCUAAGCGCUCAUAAGAAGAUGUGCACAAGGAAGUCCACUGCAGCAUUUUUAAUGGCAAAUUUGAAAACAGCCUAAAUGUCCAUCAAUAGGAGAGUGGAUGGAUAAAUUGUGCUGUUUUCACACAAUAAAAUACCGUGGAACAGUGAAGAUGAGCACACACAUCAGAUAUCACUAACAUGACAUUGAGACUAAGGAGGCAUACAGCUACAUACAACGUGGUGUCCUGAAGUCCCAGGAUCCUGGAACACAAAAAGGACAUGAGUGGAAACACUGGUGGAAUUUGAGCCAAAGUGUGACUUAGUUGAUGGGGAUGCACCAAUGUAAAUGUCUUAGUUUUGAUCAAUGGACUGUGGUUAUAUAAGAUGUUCAGACUAGGGGAAGCUGGUGAAGAGUGUCAGGGAACUUGGCAUCUGUGCAACUCUUCUGUGAAUUCAACAUUAUUUCAAGAGGAAAAGUAAAAACAAAAGCAAGUUACAGGCAAGUAUAUACAAUAUUAGACUGCUUGUAUUCAAGUGACGCUUAUGGAAAAUUGUUUCAUAUAUUGUUUAGGGAGAUAUAAGAAGUGAGCGCAUAAAGAGAGCUGAGGGCCAUGCUUCUCCCCACUGCGAGUGGGGUGGGGAAGGGUUGUGGGAGACUGGGGAGGGGGAAGAGGGAUGCAGGAGGGAUUUCCACUACCUUGAUACUGUUUUACUUCUUCAGCUGAGUAGGGGUGUGCCUAGGUGUUUAUUCUAUGACUCAUUACACUUUUGGUAUGCCUGACAUAUGUCAUGAUAAUUUUUUAGAAUCCUGUAAACCUUAUGUAGCCCCAACUGCUCAAUGCACAGGCAAAAUCAACUCAAGAAAUCGGCGUCAGAGAGGGGCUGGGAACGAGCCUCCAAGUUCCAGUUUGGAAUCUCUCUUCACCACAUGAAAUGCUUCCUGGGCGGGUUUUCUGGGUGCAGACAGGAGGUUAUAAGUACUCUAACAAGUUCGAGGGGCCCACUCCAGAAGGGCAGGUUCCAGCCACCCUGACUUGCCCAGGGCAGGGACACAGCCUCACUCCAGGCACAUGGCUCCUUGCCCCUCUCUCCCUGACUCGAGACCUUGCCCAGACCUAGCCCCAUGCCCAGGGUCUCCUGGCCCCUGAGUUGACUUUUGCUUCUAAACAAGGUGAAAAGGCAGUUGAUGUAGCAAGUGGGGGUGGCAGUGUUCCCUGAGGGGUUGAGUGGGUGGUCCGUGUAUGUGGGUGUGUGGUCACCGGGGCCCUGGCACUCAGAGAAGAUGCCUGCUGUGCCUGAAGAGGGAGUGUGAGGCACACUGAGGGGGCUUUGCAAACACUGAUGGUUUCUUCUCUUAUUAAAGUCAGGCAUCUCAUUAGGGCAAACCUGAGAAAUGCAGAAAAAGCAAAAAAUUUAAAAAUAAAAGAGAAAAACAACCACAUGCCCGCUUCCCCUGCCCCCCAUAACCACCACUUAUGCCCCGAGUUUUUCCUUUAUUUUUCUGAAGUGCAAUUACUAGGUCAAAGUGAAUGAAUAAUUAAAGACUCAAUGCAAAAUACCAAAGAUUUGACCUUUGGUAUAUAUAGAGAGAGGGAAAGACAGAGAGAGGAAUAGAACCUCCCUUCUCUAGUGAGGGGAAGGGGAUCAUUUUUAUAGCCCAGUUUUACUUCUUGUAAAAGUCCCAUGACACCAACAUUCAACAGCAUUCGAACUGAGUCACCUCACCCUGAAGCUCAUCAUUAAUUUCAACAUGAGAUCAUUUCUUCAGCCCUGCCAGUCUUCAUCU
Molecule: long non-coding RNA, 4223 nt
Filed under: Homo sapiens (human)
Lineage: Eukaryota; Metazoa; Chordata; Mammalia; Primates; Hominidae
Description: HSALNT0177579
Source: RNAcentral